GAUGAACGCUGGCGGCGUGCCUAAUACAUGCAAGUCGAGCGAACAGACGAGGAGCUUGCUCCUCUAACGUUAGCGGCGGACAGGGGAGUAACACGUGGAUAACCUACCUAUAAGACUGGGAUAACUUCGGGAAACCGGAGCUAAUACCGGAUAAUAUAUUGAACCGCAUGGUUCAAUAGUGAAAGACGGUUUUGCUGUCACUUAUAGAUGGAUCCGCGCCGCAUUAGCUAGUUGGUAAGGUAACAGCUUACCAAGGCAACGAUGCGUAGCCGACCUGAGAGGGUGAUCGGCCACACUGGAACUGAGACACGGUCCAGACUCCUACGGGAGGCAGCAGUAGGGAAUCUUCCGCAAUGGGCGAAAGCCUGACGGAGCAACGCCGCGUGAGUGAUGAAGGUCUUCGGAUCGUAAAACUCUGUUAUUAGGGAAGAACAAAUGUGUAAGUAACUAUGCACGUCUUGACGGUACCUAAUCAGAAAGCCACGGCUAACUACGUG
Molecule: ribosomal RNA, 497 nt
Filed under: uncultured bacterium
Lineage: Bacteria
Description: partial 16S ribosomal RNA
Rfam family: Bacterial small subunit ribosomal RNA
Source: RNAcentral